CAAUAGCGUAUAUUAAAGUUGUUGCGGUAAAAAAGCUCGUAGUUGGAUUUCUGUUGAGGACGCUCGGUCCACUCUAUGAGUGUGCAUCUGGGUUUUGUCCUCGGCAUCCCGUGGGAGAACGUGUCUGCGCUUAACUGCGUGGUGCGGCCUCUUCCACGCUUUUACUUUGAGGAAAUUCGAGUGUUUACGGCAGGCAUUGUCCGCUGUGAAGAUGUUAGCAUGGAAUAAUAAUAUAGGACCUCGGUCCCAUUUUGUUGGUUUCUGGAGCUGAGGUAUGCACGGUUAAUAGGAACAUUUGGGGGCAUUUGUAUCGGCCGGUCAGAGGUGGAAUUCUUGGAUUCGGUCGCGACAAACUACUGCGAAAGCAUUUGUCAAGGAUGUUUUCAUUGAUCAAGAACGAAAGUUAGGGGAUCGAAGAUGAUUAGAUACCAU
This 432-nucleotide ribosomal RNA is filed under the name uncultured eukaryote. RNAcentral describes it as "bacterial SSU rRNA". It matches the Rfam family "Eukaryotic small subunit ribosomal RNA", at positions 592 to 1018 of the family's 1831-position model. The record is from RNAcentral.